AUUGAACGCUGGCGGCAGGCCUAACACAUGCAAGUCGAGCGGUAUUGGUUUUCGGACCAAGAGACCGGCGCACGGGUGCGUAACGCGUAUGCAAUCUACCUUUUGCAGAGGGAUAGCCCCAGAGAAAUUUGGAUUAAUACCUCAUAGUAUAGUACUUUGGCAUCAAGGAACUAUUAAAGUCACAACGGCAAAGAUGAGCAUGCGUCCAUUAGCUAGUUGGUAAGGUAACGGCUUACCAAGGCUACGAUGGGUAGGGGUCCUGAGAGGGAGAUCCCCCACACUGGUACUGAGACACGGACCAGACUCCUACGGGAGGCAGCAGUGAGGAAUAUUGGACAAUGGGCGCAAGCCUGAUCCAGCCAUGCCGCGUGCAGGAUGACGGUCCUAUGGAUUGUAAACUGCUUUUAUACAGGAAGAAACACUCCGACGUGUCGGAGCUUGACGGUACUGUAAGAAUAAGGAUCGGCUAACUCCGUGCCAGCAGCCGACGG
This 491-nucleotide ribosomal RNA is filed under the name uncultured bacterium. RNAcentral's name for it is "bacterial SSU rRNA". It matches the Rfam family "Bacterial small subunit ribosomal RNA", at positions 30 to 520 of the family's 1533-position model. The record is from RNAcentral.